Molecule: ribosomal RNA, 714 nt
Filed under: uncultured Actinomycetes bacterium
Lineage: Bacteria; Bacillati; Actinomycetota; Actinomycetes
Description: bacterial SSU rRNA
Rfam family: Bacterial small subunit ribosomal RNA
Source: RNAcentral
CUGGCGGCGUGCUUUCACACAUGCAAGUCGAGCGGAAAGGCCCUUUCGGGGGUACUCGAGCGGCGAACGGGUGAGUAACACGUGAGUAAUCUGCCCUGCGCUCUGGGAUAGCCACCGGAAACGGUGAUUAAUACCGGAUAGGACCACUUCACGCAUGUGAUGGUGGUGGAAAGUUUUUUCGGCGCAGGAUGUGCUCGCGGCCUAUCAGCUUGUUGGUGAGGUAACGGCUCACCAAGGCUUUGACGGGUAACCGGCCUGAGAGGGUGACCGGUCACACUGGGACUGAGACACGGCCCAGACUCCUACGGGAGGCAGCAGUGGGGAAUAUUGGACAAUGGGCGGAAGCCUGAUCCAGCAACGCCGCGUGAGGGAUGACGGCCUUCGGGUUGUAAACCUCUUUCAGUACCGACGAAGCGAAAGUGACGGUAGGUACAGAAGAAGGACCGGCCAACUACGUGCCAGCAGCCGCGGUAAUACGUAGGGUCCGAGCGUUGUCCGGAAUUAUUGGGCGUAAAGGGCUCGUAGGCGGUUUGUCGCGUCGGGAGUGAAAACACCGGGCUUAACUCGGUGCUUGCUUUCGAUACGGGCAGACUAGAGGUAUGCAGGGGAGAAUGGAAUUCCUGGUGUAGCGGUGAAAUGCGCAGAUAUCAGGAGGAACACCGGUGGCGAAGGCGGUUCUCUGGGCAUUACCUGACGCUGAGGAGCGAAAGUGUG